ACCUAGCUACAGGCUUAACACAUGCAAGUCGAGGGGAAACGGCAUUAAGUGCUUGCACUUUUUGGACGUCGACCGGCGCACGGGUGAGUAACGCGUAUCCAACCUUCCCAUGACUAAGGGAUAACCUGCCGAAAGGCAGACUAAUACCUUAUGGUCUUCACUGACGGCAUCAGAUGUGAAGUAAAGAUUUAUCGGUUAUGGAUGGGGAUGCGUCUGAUUAGUUAGUUGGCGGGGUAACGGCCCACCAAGGCAACGAUCAGUAGGGGUUCUGAGAGGAAGGUCCCCCACAUUGGAACUGAGACACGGUCCAAACUCCUACGGGAGGCAGCAGUGAGGAAUAUUGGUCAAUGGGCGAGAGCCUGAACCAGCCAAGUAGCGUGCAGGAUGACGGCCCUAUGGGUUGUAAACUGCUUUUGUAUGGGGAUAAAGUCAAUCACGUGUGAUUGUUUGCAGGUACCAUACGAAUAAGGACCGGCUAAUUCCGUGCCAGCAGCCGCGGUAAUACGGAAGGUCCGGGCGUUAUCCGGAUUUAUUGGGUUUAAAGGGAGCGUAGGCUGGAGAUUAAGUGUGUUGUGAAAUGUAGACGCUCAACGUCUGACUUGCAGCGCAUACUGGUUUCCUUGAGUACGCACAACGUUGGCGGAAUUCGUCGUGUAGCGGUGAAAUGCUUAGAUAUGACGAAGAACUCCGAUUGCGAAGGCAGCUGACGGGAGCGCAACUGACGCUGAAGCUCGAGGGUGCGGGUAUCGAACAGGAUUAGAUACCCUGGUAGUCCGCACAGUAAACGAUGGAUGCCCGCUGUUGGUACUUGGUAUCAGCGGCUAAGCGAAAGCAUUAAGCAUCCCACCUGGGGAGUACGCCGGCAACGGUGAAACUCAAAGGAAUUGACGGGGGCCCGCACAAGCGGAGGAACAUGUGG
RNAcentral lists this ribosomal RNA (919 nucleotides) under uncultured bacterium. RNAcentral's name for it is "bacterial SSU rRNA". It matches the Rfam family "Bacterial small subunit ribosomal RNA", at positions 33 to 944 of the family's 1533-position model. The record is from RNAcentral.